UAGACUAGGUAGAAUGAAACUCUUAACUUAAAUACUUAAGACAUAUAAGUAAUUACGGUUGAGUUAUUACAAUCAUAAGUAUUCUUCGAAGUAGUUAUUUAUAUAUGAUACUUUAUUUCUAAUAGUAUUUCAUAGUAUUAUUAUGUCAAUGAGGUGCUAUUAUUCUAUCAACGUAUGACAUCAGAGAAUUUGAUAUUAGUAGUCAGUCAAAUAAAUAAUAAUAGCCAGUCUUCAUAAAGUAUUAUUAAAGUAUAUGAUAUUAUUAUUUUUGUUUCUUUUAUAUCCAAAUUAAUAAUAAAGUAUUAAUAGUCGGUCAACAUAUAAAAAAAAUACUUAAUAUGAUAAACAAAAAGUUUGCACAUUAUUAACAUUUAAGUAUUUCUGAUCAUGAUGUUUAAGAUACUUAUUUAUUUACCUAUAAAUAUUUAGACAUUUGUUUAACAUACCACUCACAAUUAGUCUCCAUUUUUCAUUUCUUUGAAAUCAAAUUUUUUUUAUAAUGGAAUCAUUAAUAAAAAUGUUCUUCAAGUUUUUGGUGCUUUUUGUUGCGAUUACAAGUGCUCUCGCUAUCAACAUACAAGGCUUACAACCUUGCUGUGAACCAGAAGUGCCAUGUGACCCACAAAGGUGUAAGAAGGCUCCAUGUUGCAUCCCGCCAUCUAGUAAUCGAAAGCCCUAAAAUAUUGAUUAUAUUGUAUUUCCUUCACACCAAUCAUUUUCAACAUGAGAAUCAUUCAUCUCAUAUAUAAUAAUUAUAUUAAUAAGAUUGGUUAUUGAAAUAUUAUUUUGAAA
Molecule: long non-coding RNA, 792 nt
Organism: Lathyrus oleraceus (garden pea)
Lineage: Eukaryota; Viridiplantae; Streptophyta; Magnoliopsida; Fabales; Fabaceae
Exons: 2
Source: RefSeq, a predicted model, not a curated record